RNAcentral lists this ribosomal RNA (483 nucleotides) under uncultured bacterium. RNAcentral's name for it is "partial 16S ribosomal RNA". It matches the Rfam family "Bacterial small subunit ribosomal RNA", at positions 30 to 506 of the family's 1533-position model. The record is from RNAcentral.
AUUGAACGCUGGCGGCAGGCCUAACACAUGCAAGUCGAGCGGAUGAAGGGAGCUUGCUCCUGGAUUCAGCGGCGGACGGGUGAGUAAUGCCUAGGAAUCUGCCUGGUAGUGGGGGAUAACGUCCGGAAACGGGCGCUAAUACCGCAUACGUCCUGAGGGAGAAAGUGGGGGAUCUUCGGACCUCACGCUAUCAGAUGAGCCUAGGUCGGAUUAGCUAGUUGGUGGGGUAAAGGCCUACCAAGGCGACGAUCCGUAACUGGUCUGAGAGGAUGAUCAGUCACACUGGAACUGAGACACGGUCCAGACUCCUACGGGAGGCAGCAGUGGGGAAUAUUGGACAAUGGGCGAAAGCCUGAUCCAGCCAUGCCGCGUGUGUGAAGAAGGUCUUCGGAUUGUAAAGCACUUUAAGUUGGGAGGAAGGGCAGUAAGUUAAGACCUUGCUGUUUUGACGUGACCAACAGAAUAAGCACCGGCUAACUUCGU